AUGUUUGUAUUUUGCACUUGCCCGGAGGUGUUUCACGGGAAGUGAGCAUUUUUUAAAACAAAAAUAGAAUUUAGAAAAAAAAAAGGCAGACACGAUGGAUUUCUAGUGUUGUACGUGCUGUAGAAAGCACUUGAAAAUGCGUUUUGCCAGGGGCCGCAACCAGAAGCUACAUGACUUCUGGAAUCUGUUCCUUACACAGUAAAUUCCUGGGCCAGUUGGUAAACAGCAAGGAGCCACAAGAAAUCACUCAUAGGCAAAAGCCGAGUGAGCCCAGGCCAAGCUCCACUUUGUCCACUUUGCCCUAUUUUUGGAAUUCAGGGGGAAACAUCUUGGGAGCAGGCCCAUUGCACCCCUCUGCCUCCUCUCGAUGCCUUACAGUUGGUGGGGUUUGACACAUGGAAAAUUGUGAAAGUUAGAACACGGAACAAAAAUGAAGCCUCAACAUAGAGUUAAUAGAGGCAAGGGGCUACAGAGAAUUUAGAUCCUAAUCAAGCACGUCUUAUGUACUAGCGCUUCCCUGGAAGGCCAGGAUAACUUUAUGACUACAAAGAAAACAUGUUUUCCUGCUUGGAAGUUGCCAGAACUUGUCUAAUAUAAAAGCUGGGAUUUCUUGCCCGUGGGCUGUCGCGUACGGCUACCCAGGCCGCCUCGUGAAGCCUCCUCCUGGGAGCUCGGCGCCCUCAGGUGCUCCCUGAGAUGCCAGCACCUGAACGACCUGCUCCAGGGAGGCUUUAGCCCCAAGAAGGUUCUGGAAAGCUCCAGGAAGUUUAGCCGGCACGCACAAAAGCCAGAGACAAAUCUCCAGCCUGCCUGGAAAUGCUGUGGGCUCAGGGCAAUGGGCUGAGGUCUUGUGUCCAAAACUGCUCUUGCAUCUCCCUGGGGAGCCCGGGUGGGCAGGAACAACAAGGUCCUGUGGCCAUGCCCUCGCCCCAUGCUCACCCACACUGCCUGUGCCUGCUGGGCCCAUCUCAGGGCUGCACUGGCCCCUAGUGGCCAAGCAUGGGCUCUACCCCUCUGCGCCUGCCUGGCUGCCUGUGCAGGUGCCCACCACACUGUCCCUGAGCAGAGCAGAGACCAGCCUGAGCCCCGGGCUCCGUGGCUACCAUGCUGAGAGUGAGCCCUGUGCAUGCACACACACUUACGAUGCUGCUGGCCCCGAGCAGUGGCCGGCCACACGGGCUGCUAGUCAUACUGCCCGCUGCUCCUGGGACUCCUGAGCCCCUCACUCUCUAUAGGGUGAGGAUGCCCAGCUCUGCAAGACACACAGCAAACGGAGCCUCAGAGUGCACAGCGUGGAGAUGGGGCUCCCCCCACAGGCUGCACCCCCAUCUAGUCCCGGGGAACGAGAAUGAAGGGCCUACCUGAGCACACAAGCCCCAGGAGGGCAUGGGAGCUGCAUUUGGGGGCAGUGACUGGGAGGGCUGCUGACUCCAGGCUCAGAUUAAAAGACAGACGGCAACACUGGGGUUGCAGAGCUCAGGAGCCAGUCCUGGCCCCCUGCCUCCUCCCUCAUGAGGUUCCCCUGAUCCCCAGGACAUCGGCUUCCACAUCUGCACAUCUGGGAGACAAAUGCACCAUCAGGGAGGGCAAAUCAUACCUGGGAAGGGCCUGACUCCAGCAGUUUCAGCAGUGGCUGAAAGAUCAUGGCUAUUUUUGCCAUCAUUACAAUGGAAUGUCCACUCCCUCCAGCCACCUCCACAGCAAUCAACACCGGUGUCCAGCCACUCUACAUGGACGUGUGGGGAACAGAGCACAGGCCUCUUGGCUUGGCUGUGGUCACCGGGAGGGAGCAGGGAGGGACAGCUGCCAAGAGGAUGGGGGAGGGAGCCUGCUACUCAGGAACGCUGGGGCAAGACAUGAGACAAAGGGCUGCCUUCACCCACCAGUAGGAGCCUGACCCUGAGCCCAAAGAAACUGCCCACCUGUGUGCUGACCCCAGGGCCUGAGGACAGGUCCCCAAGUGGACGUCUCAAAGAGAGUCCCACAUUCCAGGGCACAUGGGAACUAUGGCCUUCUGGCAGCUGGAGGGCAGCAGGAAGGGCACAGCUGUCUGAGACCCGUGUGGCUUCCCAGAAAGAGGUGCCACCCCUGAGGAGGCACCGGUGCUCACGGACUCCUGGUUGCCAGUCUUGCCAGGGCAAAAAGGCAAGCGAAGGAAACCCUCUCUUCGUGGGGCACUCUGCCUUGCAGUGUCAGGUGAGAUCCCGGGGGGAAAGCUGGCUUGAGCUCCUCUGGAAUGUGCAGGGAGGACUCCGUCAGGCCCGGCUCUGCCUCCAAGCUGGGCAGCAGGCGAGCCCCAGAGCUCCACCAGCCCCACUGGCAGAGGAGGGCCCUCACGAGGCAGGAGCCCAUGAUUCAUGCCCUGCUGGAAUUUGUCGAGCAUGCCGAGAUUUGCAGCUCCUCCGAGAUUGGGUCCUGCCCUGAUCAAAAGAAAAGAAGAUGGAUGAGGACACUAUAAAUAGGCCAGAGCCACCCAGCUGGCCUCGGGGAUGCAGGCGGUAUGUGUUCUGGGCUCUCACGAAGCUAAGAAACUCUAAAUCCAAGGUGACAUCGUGGCACACCGCCACCUGCUUCAGGGGGACACAGGGGACAAGGAGGAGCUAUUGGCAGAGCGCUCGGUUCCUGCAAGUUCCAACUUCUGCUAAAAUUGGUUAAUUGGUUCCUUUGCAUGAUUCAGGGCACACAGGCUUCUCUGUCCACAAAAUUUGCUCGCCUGCACACCCAGAGAAAUGGACUUGGCUUGGUUUUUCUGAACUUUUGCCUCUGCGGAAUCAGCAGUGGACGUGUGAGCUGGGGCCUCUGUCCCUGUCAUGUGAGGAGGUCAGGCAGGACAAGCAGGAAGCACUGGGCAAUGAGUCAGGAGGCCUGGUGGGGAGCUUGGGUGAGUCUGUUUUCCUCUCUGGACCUCAGUCUUCUCCUCUGGUUGAUGUAAUAAAAUCCUACAAACUGA
Long non-coding RNA from Homo sapiens (human), 2950 nucleotides. RefSeq annotates it as long independently transcribed non-coding RNA 2925. Lineage: Eukaryota; Metazoa; Chordata; Mammalia; Primates; Hominidae. The transcript is spliced from 2 exons. The record is from RefSeq and is marked validated.